GCAAGUCGAACGAGAAAGGGACUUCGGUCCUGAGUAGAGUGGCGCACGGGUGAGUAACACGUGGAUAACCUGCCCUAUAAUCUGGGAUAACAUUUCGAAAGGGAUGCUAAUACCGGAUAAGCCCACGCUCUCUUCGGAGAAAGUGGGAAAAGAUUUAUCGUCAUAGGAUGGGUCCGCGGUCCAUUAGCUAGUUGGUGGGGUAAUGGCCUACCAAGGCUUCGAUGGAUAGCUGGUCUGAGAGGAUGAUC
This 248-nucleotide ribosomal RNA is filed under the name uncultured bacterium. RNAcentral describes it as "partial 16S ribosomal RNA". It matches the Rfam family "Bacterial small subunit ribosomal RNA", at positions 57 to 305 of the family's 1533-position model. The record is from RNAcentral.